This 488-nucleotide ribosomal RNA is filed under the name uncultured bacterium. RNAcentral's name for it is "bacterial SSU rRNA". It matches the Rfam family "Bacterial small subunit ribosomal RNA", at positions 28 to 526 of the family's 1533-position model. The record is from RNAcentral.
GACGAACGCUGGCGGCGUGCCUAACACAUGCAAGUCGAACGAGGUCCAUGAGAGCUUGCUCUCGGAAGACCUAGUGGCGAACGGGUGAGUAACACGUGAACAACCUGCCCUGGAAUCUGGGAUAACCCGAGGAAACUCGAGCUAAUACCGGAUACCUUCCUCUGAUCGCAUGGUCGGUGGAAGAAAGAACUUCGUUCCAGGAGGGGUUCGCGGCCUAUCAGCUUGUUGGCGGGGUAACGGCCCACCAAGGCAGCGACGGGUAGCUGGAUUGAGAGAUCGAUCAGCCACACUGGGACUGAGACACGGCCCAGACUCCUACGGGAGGCAGCAGUGGGGAAUCUUGCGCAAUGGGCGAAAGCCUGACGCAGCAACGCCGCGUGCGGGAUGACGGCCUUCGGGUUGUAAACCGCUUUCAGCAGGGACGAAAAUGACGGUACCUGCAGAAGAAGCCCCGGCUAACUACGUGCCAGCAGCCGCCGCAGUAACAC